RNAcentral lists this long non-coding RNA (1804 nucleotides) under Homo sapiens (human). RNAcentral's name for it is "HSALNT0308944". Lineage: Eukaryota; Metazoa; Chordata; Mammalia; Primates; Hominidae. The record is from RNAcentral.
ACUUGAGUUACAUUGACAGAAGCCUUCAAAACAAUAUUGUGUGAGAUAAACACAAUGGUUGCAGUCUAUGGUCUGAAAUUCUUUUACUGUGGGAAGGCCAGUUUUAAAGAUGAUUUGAAGGUCAAAUGAGGUCACCUUUAACAUAAUGUAGCAUUUACUGGACUGCAGUGGUCAAGGGAAAACAAAGAGGUUUUUGGAGAACUUAGACAUUGGAGAAUAGUCAUGCUCUUGGAUGGCAUUAUCCAAAGACGGUGGCAGUUGAGUGGAAUCCAAUAACCACGCUACGAAAGAACAUAAUCUGAGCUAUGGGUGAAGUAGGGGAGUGAGGGCCACAGACCAGAGGCCUUUCGGAGUUUCUCAAAUCUUUAAAUAUCUUUCAAGAAGGGGGACCCUAUAGCUCUUUCAGUACCAUCAUAUCAGCUUAUUUAUGAUACCAGAACUAUAACUGUAUUCUAAGUCACCAGAAUUGACAGCAAUUUAUAUGGGUUUGAUUUUUUUUUAGUGACUAGAGAAAAAAAUAAGUAUCAGUUACUUUCUUGACCUACCAGGCCAGCCUUUGCAGAAAGAGGGAUAAAGCAUCCUUGAUGAGGAACAAAUAAAAUUAUACUGUGAAGAAAUUUCCAACUGGUCAGAUCAGGAUGUAAUUCUCUUGUUUGUGUUUUUCUUAGAAAGCAUUUCCAUUUUGCCUGGCUCUGGGAACAAAGCCAAUGUCUGCUUUAGAGGAACAGAGAUUUCCACACAGCGAAUGAGAAAAAGGACACAGACCCAGGAUUCAGAAAGGAAAUGAGGACAGAGACUAACACUGUCUAAAUACAUAAAGGCAGAAGACAUUUUCUCAGCAACCCGGGGAUAGAUCCUUUUCCGUUCCACUGAAGCUUGCAGAGAAAAGCGGGCUGUGAGAAGCAAGGCCCCGGAGGGGAGGCAGACAGACCCUGAGCCGUGCAAAUUUGUGCAAAUGCCUGGAUUUGCCCCGAAGGCAGAGAGGGUGGGGAGCUUCAGAGACCAACAGGGGGAAAUUUGUACAUAGAGACAUGCAGAGAGAGGAGCUGAUGUGAAGGCAUGGAGAGAUUUUCAUCUACAAGCCAAGGAAUGCCUGAGCUACCAGAAGCCAAGAGAGAGGCAAGGAACAGAGUCUGCCUCACAGCCCUUAAAAGCAAACAACCCUGCUGACAUCUUACGUUUGAACUUCCAGCUUCCAGAACUGUGAGACAAUAAACUUCUGUUGUUUAAGCAACUCAGUUUGUGGUACCUUGUUAUGGCAGGCCUAGCAAAUUAAUACACCUUCUUACUAAAAACAACCAUAAAACUGCCAAAAUAUAUGAGGAAACUGUCUUUAGGUAUUUGGACAACAUGCGGUACGGGGCUGUGAUUCUUGAGAGGAAAGGAAAUGUAUGAGCUAAAUGAAAGUUAAAAGAAUCCAUCUGUAAUACAAGAAAUAUGAAAAGAGGUUCUGCUUGUGAAAUAUAUGUCAAAGGUGGCAAAAAUAGUAGGAAAAAAAUACAUGUAAUUUUGCAAUUGUAAGACUUAAAUAUUUUAUGGGUGGUGGUACAAUGUCAACUCUAGUCACUGUGAUCAGUUAAAGUGUCAUAUUUUAAUCUUUGUGGGAACCAUUUAAAAAAUACAAAUAAGGAUAGCUAAAAAGCCAACAGAGGACAGAAAAGGAAUACUAAAAAUAUUUAAUGAACUCAAAAGAAGGAAUGAAAGGAAGAAUGGAGGAACAACAAGAUGUCAGGAGAAAUAGUAAAUAAAUACCAGGAUGGUAACAUUAAAUCCCAGUAUAUCAAUAAUUAUAUUAAAUGUUAAA